Molecule: ribosomal RNA, 158 nt
Filed under: uncultured Ascomycota
Lineage: Eukaryota; Fungi; Ascomycota
Description: 5.8S ribosomal RNA
Source: RNAcentral
GUAUGACGUCUCCCCUAUAUGGCCAACCCGAAGGAAGGAACGUGUCAGAGACCUUUAUCCCACCGCCCAAACUGAUGCUGGCCUGCCUGCAGAAGAGUGCACCGGGCAAAAGCCCGGAUGAGCAACUGCAAGCAAGUCUGGCUGCAAGCGCUUCCCUU